RNAcentral lists this ribosomal RNA (492 nucleotides) under uncultured bacterium. RNAcentral describes it as "partial 16S ribosomal RNA". It matches the Rfam family "Bacterial small subunit ribosomal RNA", at positions 29 to 507 of the family's 1533-position model. The record is from RNAcentral.
AGUGAACGCUGGCGGUAGGCCUAACACAUGCAAGUCGAACGGCAGCACAGUAAGAGCUUGCUCUUACGGGUGGCGAGUGGCGGACGGGUGAGGAAUACAUCGGAAUCUACUUUUUCGUGGGGGAUAACGUAGGGAAACUUACGCUAAUACCGCAUACGACCUACGGGUGAAAGCAGGGGAUCUUCGGACCUUGCGCGAUUGAAUGAGCCGAUGUCGGAUUAGCUAGUUGGCGGGGUAAAGGCCCACCAAGGCGACGAUCCGUAGCUGGUCUGAGAGGAUGAUCGGCCACACUGGAACUGAGCCACGGUCCAGCCUCCUACGGGAGGCAGCAGUGGGGAAUAUUGGACAAUGGGCGCAAGCCUGAUCCAGCCAUCCCGCGUGGGUGAAGAAGGCCUUUGGGUUGUAAAGCCCUUUUGUUGGGAAAGAAAAGCAGCAGGUUAAUACCCCGCUGUUCUGACGGUACCCAAAGAAUAAGCACCGGCUAACUUCGUG